UACGUAGGCAGCGAGCGUUGUUCGGAGUUACUGGGCGUAAAGGGUGUGUAGGCGGUUGUUUACGUUUGGUGUGAAAUCUCCCGGCUUAACCGGGAGGGUGCGCCGAAUACUGAAUGACUAGAGUGCGGGAGAGGUGAGUGGAAUUCCUGGUGUAGCGGUGAAAUGCGUAGAUAUCAGGAGGAACACCGGUGGUGCAGACGGCUCACUGGACCGUAACUGACGCUGAGACACGAAAGCGUGGGUAGCAAACAGG
RNAcentral lists this ribosomal RNA (253 nucleotides) under uncultured bacterium. RNAcentral's name for it is "partial 16S ribosomal RNA". It matches the Rfam family "Bacterial small subunit ribosomal RNA", at positions 524 to 776 of the family's 1533-position model. The record is from RNAcentral.